Molecule: ribosomal RNA, 1077 nt
Filed under: Bacillus anthracis (anthrax bacterium)
Lineage: Bacteria; Bacillati; Bacillota; Bacilli; Caryophanales; Bacillaceae
Description: bacterial SSU rRNA
Rfam family: Bacterial small subunit ribosomal RNA
Source: RNAcentral
UAGCAUGCGGGUGCUAUACAUGCAAGUCGAGCGAAUGGAUUAAGAGCUUGCUCUUAUGAAGUUAGCGGCGGACGGGUGAGUAACACGUGGGUAACCUGCCCAUAAACUGGGAUAACUCCGGGAAACCGGGGCUAAUACCGGAUAAAUUUUGAACCGCAGGUUCGAAAUUGAAAGGCGGCUUCGGCUGUCACUUAUGGAUGGACCCGCGUCGCAUUAGCUAGUUGGUGAGGUAACGGCUCACCAAGGCAACGAUGCGUAGCCACCUGAGAGGGUGAUCGGCCACACUGGGACUGAGACACGGCCCAGACUCCUACGGGAGGCAGCAGUAGGGAAUCUUCCGCAAUGGACAAAGUCUGACGGAGCAACGCCGCGUGAGUGAUGAAGGCUUUCGGGUCGUAAAACUCUGUUGUUAGGGAAAACAAGUGCUAGUUGAAUAAGCUGGCACCUUGACGGUACCUAACCAAAAGCCACGGCUAACUACGUGCCAGCAGCCGCGGUAAUACGUAGGUGGCAAGCGUUAUCCGGAAUUAUUGGGCGUAAAGCGCGCGCAGGUGGUUUCUUAAGUCUGAUGUGAAAGCCCACGGCUCAACCGUGGAGGGUCAUUGGAAACUGGGAGACUUGAGUGCAGAAGAGGAAAGUGGAAUUCCAUGUGUAGCGGUGAAAUGCGUAGAGAUAUGGAGGAACACCAGUGGCGAAGGCGACUUUCUGGUCUGUAACUGACACUGAGGCGCGAAAGCGUGGGGAGCAAACAGGAUUAGAUACCCUGGUAGUCCACGCCGUAAACGAUGAGUGCUAAGUGUUAGAGGGUUUCCGCCCUUUAGUGCUGAAGUUAACGCAUUAAGCACUCCGCCUGGGGAGUACGGCCGCAAGGCUGAAACUCAAGGAAAUUGACGGGGGCCCGCACAAGCGGUGGGAGCAUGUGGUUUAAUUCGAAGCAACGCGAAGAACCUUACCAGGUCUUGACAUCCUCUGACAACCCUAGAGAUAGGGCUUCUCCUUCGGGAGCAGAGUGACAGGUUGUGCAUGGUUGUCGUCAGCUCGUGUCGUGAGAUGUGGGUUAAGUCCCGCAACGAGCGC